RNAcentral lists this long non-coding RNA (1638 nucleotides) under Felis catus (domestic cat). RNAcentral describes it as "lncRNA (ENSFCAG00000048713.1)". Lineage: Eukaryota; Metazoa; Chordata; Mammalia; Carnivora; Felidae. The record is from RNAcentral.
UGCGUGUUAUUUUAAGCCGUUAACGUUCAUGGGGACUUGUUAAGGCGGCCCUGGGAGACGGAUACACCAGACCCCACAGUGUCCAGACCCCACAGCAGUUCUCUGGGAGCCGCCCCUCUGGGUAGUUUCCUCCCACAGGGGGUCUGUGUUGCCUGGGGCUUACCAGUGGGCAAUGACACAUGAGAUUCGCCGUCAGCUCCAGACCCAAGCCUCGGGAGGGCUGGCUUGCACUUUUGGGAGUCCCAGGAUGCAAUAGUUCAAGCUCUGGGGUCGUGUCAGAGAAGGCUGUGCGGAGAGGAGAGGCCGGAAGAGCUUAGAGGGGAGGGAGGCCCAGUCUUCUUCGGGGGUCUCCGUUUAGCCUCCAGGUGACCCCAGCCCCUUCGGCAGCCACCACGUGAGAGAGCCCCCAGGCAAGAUCAGCUAUGGCACAGCCCAGCCAGCCCGGUCCACCCACAGAAAUGGAGGGAUAAUAACACGGUUCUUUUAAGCCACUGUCUAAUUUUAGCUGCCAUGAGUUAAGUUGAGGCCCUUCUGUGGUGAGUGCUAGGAAGCCAUCAGCUCCUAACACUGUCCUGAAUGUCACCCCCACUUUCAAGAUGAAGAAACCGAGGCCCUGAGAGGGAAGGUAAGGAGAGUGGCUGGUAGAUGGGAGAGCUGGGUUUAAACCCAAGUCCUUCCACCUCCAGAGCCCCAGGCCCUUAGCACCUGCCAGGGCCAGCUCCCCUCAGAGCUCUCUGGAUUAUACUUGGAGGCCUAGGUAGGCCCCAGGCACUGCUUUGGCCGCCAUUGUCGGCCGCCAUGUUGGUUCAGGCAAACUCAUUGCUAACCUCCUGCCCUUUUCCUCCUCUUGCUCUCAAGUCUCAUCGGAGGAGAAGCGGGAUUACUUACAACAUGGCUCGUUUCUGGGGCUGUCCCCCAGGAGCCCCGAGACCAGGCGGCUGCAUCCGCUGGUUAUUGGACGCCUCUGUUGCCAAGCACAGUACCUGGCCCAGAGCAGGACCCCAGUGACUGCUGCAGAGUGAAGGACCGGUGAGUCUCUUUGUUUGUAAUCGAGGUUCCCCCUCCCAGCCCCCCUGGCUGAGCCACACUGGACUGGGGGACAACUUGAAAUUGCCAAAUUGACCAGCAGCAGAGCCGGCCUCUUGAGGGAGGUUACCACGUCGGAGGAAGGAGGCAAAACCCUCGUCUCAGGAUCCCAGGUGGGCUUUGCGGCACCCAUCCCACCCCCCGCAGUCCCAGUCUGGGCCUAUGCUUGGCCCAGAGCAUCCUCUGGCCUCGAGAUGCUGUGUUUCUGAUGGCUUUUUGUUGUUGUUGCUGUUUAUUUAUUUUUGAGAGAGAGACAGAGAGACAGAGUGUAAGCAGGGGAGGGGCAGAGAGAGAGAGGGAGACACAGAAUCAAAAGCAGGCCCCAGGCUCUGAGCUGUCAGCACAGAGCACGACGCGGGGCUCGAACUCAUGAACUGCAAGAUCAUGACCUGAGCCAAAGUUAGGUGCUUAACCAACUAAGCCACCCAGGCACCCCUCCUGUGGCUUCUCCAAAGCUUCAUAAAAACUAAGUUGUGGCAUAUGAAAUUGCCUAUAUUCAGUUAUUUUUGACCCGUGAAAAGUCAGUUUCAUAUGAUUCAGCUUAAGAAUCCA